UUCCUUCCCGCACAGCCUGGGAAGUAAUCCUAUAUAUAUUAGUUGUUCACCCUGUACUUCCUUAAAGGCUCUUCUCUGCUCUCUGACAUUGUGUCACACAAGCAAAGAAAAAUGCCUGAAGAAGUUCCUGCUCAGUGCAAGGCUCCCAAAGAUGAGCUGGACAAAUGUGUUCAGGGGAAGGGUGCAGAGGGCUGUAAGGAGCUGCUGGAAUCUUUUGAGGCCUGUGUGAAGGGGGCCACGACAACCUCGUGAGGGGACAUGCAUUUACAUGGCCAUCCUUUCUGGGUCCUCCAGUGUCCUUGCAUUCCCUCACAUUUCACUGGACUAAACCAUUCUAAGGACAGUGAAAGG
Sinocyclocheilus rhinocerous is the source of this 351-nucleotide long non-coding RNA. RefSeq lists it as uncharacterized. The record is from RefSeq and is a predicted model, not a curated record. NCBI's taxonomy places the organism in Eukaryota, Metazoa, Chordata, Actinopteri, Cypriniformes, Cyprinidae. The transcript has 3 exons.